CUAGAUUGCCGGUCGGUCGCCUGCAUUCAAAAAAAUGCGGGAGGAAAGUCCGGGCAGUAUAGGGCACAACAGUUGCUAACGGCAACCAAGAGUAAUCUUAGGGAAAGUGCCACAGAAACGAUACCGCCUAACUAUGACAGCAAUGCAUACUAGGUAAGGGUGAAAUGAGUGGGGUAAGAGCCCACAGCUUACUAUGGUGACAUAGUAGGAGGGUAAACCCUGUUGGCUGCAAGGAUUGGGUAGUGCUUUUUAAGCUAGUGGCCCGCUAUACCCAAGUCAACCCGCUUGAGAUUCGUAGCAAUACGAUUCCUAGAUAGAUGAUCGACGUAUCACAGAACCCGGCUUAUAGGCAAUCUGGCUAC
Molecule: RNase P RNA, 362 nt
Filed under: Candidatus Saccharimonadota bacterium
Lineage: Bacteria; Candidatus Saccharimonadota
Also listed under: 2 other names
Description: RNase P RNA component class A
Rfam family: Bacterial RNase P class A
About the family: Ribonuclease P (RNase P) is a ubiquitous endoribonuclease, found in archaea, bacteria and eukarya as well as chloroplasts and mitochondria. Its best characterised activity is the generation of mature 5'-ends of tRNAs by cleaving the 5'-leader elements of precursor-tRNAs.
Source: RNAcentral